Long non-coding RNA from Daphnia carinata, 865 nucleotides. RefSeq lists it as uncharacterized. The record is from RefSeq and is a predicted model, not a curated record. The transcript has 7 exons. NCBI's taxonomy places the organism in Eukaryota, Metazoa, Arthropoda, Branchiopoda, Diplostraca, Daphniidae.
GUCUUCCUCGCGAUUUGAUGGAAAAAUUGAUCAUUCCGGAUCAAUUCUUUAGCUUUUUUCUUUGUGCAACGAUAAACAAAGAAAAAUAAAACGAGGAAGUGAAUCAAUUGUUCAGUCGUACGCUGUAUGUUCUUGUUAAUAAUAGAAGAGGAAGCUACAUCUUGAUGGUGGAUGGAGGUGAAUUUUUUCCGAGUCAGUUUCUCAUGCAUGUAGGCAGAUGGCAAAGCUCUAAUAACCAAAACUACUGUUGAGUUAGCCCUGCUGUCUUCUUUUGGUCGUUCUUGCAGACUGUGCUGUGAAAAUGGAUCCAAGAAAGAAGCAAUUGGAGUCAGCAACAUUCAUUUGUGAGUCUGGGUUAGUCUACACCGACUUAAAUGAUUUCUUUUGAUGAGGUGACAACUUGAACCCGGCAAUGACGAUGGCUCUGGCCCUGGCCAAAGAUUUCCCCUGGACCUUACACAGUUAACGCGGCUCGGGAUUUGGCUCACCGGUUAGUCACGUAUUUUGGAGGAUGGGAGCUCGGCGUAUUUAGUUUCAACAUUUUUGUUCCAUAACGGUGUGUGCUACUUUCGCGAAGAACAGUCUAUUGUUCACGAUCAGCUGAUCCCGAUACAAACGGUCUUCCUGCCUUUGACGUUGCCGCUUUGUUCGCUACAAAAGAAUCCCUUUGUUCACAGAUCCUUUGCUACGUUUGCCAGUAUAAACAAGUCGUACAUCUGCCGGAAUGCUGGAACAAGCCAUCGAAUCGCUGACUGACAUUUGGAAUGAUGAACGUGGUCUGAUUGUUGCAAGUGCAGGCGUCGCUGCAAGUCUCUACGUUUUGGCCAGCAAGGUGUACACCCUUUACGAAAAGUCUCAGCUAAGG